RNAcentral lists this ribosomal RNA (474 nucleotides) under Pectobacterium polonicum. RNAcentral describes it as "bacterial SSU rRNA". It matches the Rfam family "Bacterial small subunit ribosomal RNA", at positions 1 to 471 of the family's 1533-position model. The record is from RNAcentral. Lineage: Bacteria; Pseudomonadati; Pseudomonadota; Gammaproteobacteria; Enterobacterales; Pectobacteriaceae.
AAAUUGAAGAGUUUGAUCAUGGCUCAGAUUGAACGCUGGCGGCAGGCCUAACACAUGCAAGUCGAGCGGUAGCACAGGGGAGCUUGCUCUCUGGGUGACGAGCGGCGGACGGGUGAGUAAUGUCUGGGAAACUGCCUGAUGGAGGGGGAUAACUACUGGAAACGGUAGCUAAUACCGCAUAAUGUCUUCGGACCAAAGAGGGGGACCUUCGGGCCUCUUGCCAUCGGAUGUGCCCAGAUGGGAUUAGCUAGUAGGUGAGGUAAUGGCUCACCUAGGCGACGAUCCCUAGCUGGUCUGAGAGGAUGACCAGCCACACUGGAACUGAGACACGGUCCAGACUCCUACGGGAGGCAGCAGUGGGGAAUAUUGCACAAUGGGCGCAAGCCUGAUGCAGCCAUGCCGCGUGUGUGAAGAAGGCCUUCGGGUUGUAAAGCACUUUCAGCGGGGAGGAAGGCGGUGAGAUUAAUACUCUCA